This 322-nucleotide long non-coding RNA is filed under the name Hordeum vulgare. RNAcentral's name for it is "long non-coding RNA (HVUL_LNC000906)". The record is from RNAcentral. Lineage: Eukaryota; Viridiplantae; Streptophyta; Magnoliopsida; Poales; Poaceae.
GUUAGUAGUUUUAGUGGUAGAUUUAGUUAGGUUAGUAGUUUUAGUUAGGUUAGUUAGUUAGCUUGGUUAGUUAGGUGGAGGAGGAGAAGAGGAGAAGAGGAGGAGGAGGAGGACAAGAAGAGGAGAAGAAGAAGAGGAGUAGGAGGAGGAGGAGGAGGAGAAGAAAAAGAAGAAGAGGAGAAGAAAAAAAUAAGAAGGAGAAGAAGAAGAAAAAGAAGAACAAGAGAAGAAAAAAAUAAGAAGGAAAAGAAGUAAAGAAGAAGAGAAAAAGAAGAGAAGAAGAGAAUAAGAAAAAAAAUAAGAAGGAGAAGAAGAGAAAAAA